RNAcentral lists this long non-coding RNA (1245 nucleotides) under Olea europaea subsp. europaea. Lineage: Eukaryota; Viridiplantae; Streptophyta; Magnoliopsida; Lamiales; Oleaceae. The record is from RNAcentral.
AAAUAAUGCUAUACAUACAAAUUGGGGAUGAUCCUCAUGCGAUGUGUAAGUCAAUAAAAGGUAUGGAUAUGCGACACUUUAUUGACAUUAUCAUAUAAUGCCACCUCACAUGGGAUCAACCUCUAUUGGGAUGCUCUAUAUUUGCAUUUAACUUUUUCGCUUUGAUAGUCUACAGCGUCUGAGGGAAUUCCCACCAUUUCAAGUGUCUUUUCCCACACUAUACGAUGUUUCAACAUUAUGCGAUUCUUUAGAAGGAUUUGUGGGACGACAAUCUUGAGAAAUGUAGGCACAGACUGGCCAUUCAUCCGCUUUCAACAUCUCACAAUAUUCGAGAACUUGGGGAUCUGUGGCUGCGAAUAGUAUACUUCUAGAACCUGCAAUAGUCCAGAUUACAAAAGUAGCGAAGUCAGACCAAGUUCAGCAGAAAACUUAUUUUUCAUAAAAUAAAAUUUUAAAUAACAAUUUUAUCUAUCAUAUCCAGAUAGUCGCAUAUGCCAAUUGGAAAUUGCGUUACCACAUCUCUUAUAUCUAAGAUCAAAUAUAUUUCUCUGUCAUGCUUCAACACACGUUUGGUCCUUCCUCUUUUCUCAUCGGAAAUGUGUCAGCUUCCUCUAGUGCUGAAUAUGUGAUACAAAAAGAAUGAGCUGCCUCCCUGAUCCAAUUUUUGCGGAUGAAUACUGUCACUCUGGGGCAAUGUAUUCAGCACACUAUCUGGUGCAUGACAGUAUUUGGUUUGGUAGCUUCCUCUCAUUGUUUCAAUAGAUAGGGAGAAGAUUGAAUGAAAUUUUCCAUUGAUAAAGUGGCAGAGAUUCAUCAAUGUUUGGCAGGUGGACAUGUAAGUGUAGGAGAGUUUAUUACCUUUAAUCACUGGAUCUUUCAUGUUGGAUCAUCAAAAAAUUCAAGAAUUAUAGUAGAAACGUACCUGAACCAGACAUGGUUAAUGCAAUAGUUGAAUCUCGCGGUUUAGUCUUCCAAAUUACACGCAGCCCGUAAUUCUCUCUGGCGAUGGUAAACAGAACAAAAUGAGCAAAAUACGUACGUGUGAUUUGGGGACCAUAACCAUAUUUAUAUAUUGGCGUCCCUUAAUCUAAUUCGGCCAAUUAUAGAAUUAAGAACUUGGCUCGGUCUUUACACAUAAAAUACCCACACUUUAAUUGGAUGCAUUAAAGCCCAAAAUACCGAAGCCUUAUUGGAUUACCUUUAAUUGGACUUAACUGAAUUUGAUAACCUUUAAUUUAAUACACA